UCAAGAAACUUCCACAAUGGGCGAAAGCCUGAUGGAGCGACGUCGCGUGAUGGACGAAGUGCUUCGGCACGUAAACAUCUUUUAUGUGGGAUGAAAUUAUUGACAGUACCACAUGAAUAAGGGGCUCCUAACUCUGUGCCAGCAGGAGCGGUAAUACAGAGGCCCCAAGCGUUAUCCGGAAUCACUGGGCGUAAAGGGUGUCGAGGCGGUUGUAUUAGUCGUUCGUAAAAUCUACGAGCUUAACUUGUAGGCGGCGAACGAAACGGUACGACUUGAGGUUUGGAGAGGUGCGUGGAACUCACGGUGUAGGGGUGAAAUCCGUUGAUAUCGUGGGGAACACCAAAGGCGAAGGCAGCGCACUGGCCAAAAUCUGACGCUCACACGCGAAAGCUAGGGUAGCGAAGAGGAUUAGAUACCCCCGUAGUCCCUGAGCGGGCUGGCAAGGCGCAU
Molecule: ribosomal RNA, 450 nt
Filed under: uncultured bacterium
Lineage: Bacteria
Description: bacterial SSU rRNA
Rfam family: Bacterial small subunit ribosomal RNA
Source: RNAcentral